RNAcentral lists this ribosomal RNA (465 nucleotides) under Vreelandella stevensii. Its description in RNAcentral is "partial 16S ribosomal RNA". It matches the Rfam family "Bacterial small subunit ribosomal RNA", at positions 338 to 795 of the family's 1533-position model. The record is from RNAcentral. Lineage: Bacteria; Pseudomonadati; Pseudomonadota; Gammaproteobacteria; Oceanospirillales; Halomonadaceae.
CAUACGGGAGGCAGCAGUGGGGAAUAUUGGACAAUGGGCGAAAGCCUGAUCCAGCCAUGCCGCGUGUGUGAAGAAGGCCUUCGGGUUGUAAAGCACUUUCAGUGGGGAAGAAAGCCUUGGGGCUAAUACCCUCGAGGAAGGACAUCACCCACAGAAGAAGCACCGGCUAACUCCGUGCCAGCAGCCGCGGUAAUACGGAGGGUGCGAGCGUUAAUCGGAAUUACUGGGCGUAAAGCGCGCGUAGGCGGUCUGAUAAGCCGGUUGUGAAAGCCCCGGGCUCAACCUGGGAACGGCAUCCGGAACUGUCAGGCUAGAGUGCAGGAGAGGAAGGUAGAAUUCCCGGUGUAGCGGUGAAAUGCGUAGAGAUCGGGAGGAAUACCAGUGGCGAAGGCGGCCUUCUGGACUGACACUGACGCUGAGGUGCGAAAGCGUGGGUAGCAAACAGGAUUAGAUACCCUGGUAGUC